Molecule: unclassified non-coding RNA, 201 nt
Filed under: Mucor megalocarpus
Lineage: Eukaryota; Fungi; Mucoromycota; Mucoromycetes; Mucorales; Mucoraceae
Description: partial internal transcribed spacer 2
Source: RNAcentral
ACACCCCCACACUCAACUUUAGGGUUGAGUGGAACUGAGAGUUCACGGUCCCCCUCCCGGGACUGUACUCUUUAAAAUUAUUAGGCCUGAAAAUUGUAUUGUCUUUUUUUUUUGCCUGAACAUUUUUUUAAUAUAAAGGAAUGCUUCUUGUCAUCAAACAAUCUUCUCUGGGGCCUCCCAAAUAAAUCUCUUUUUUUAAAA